CAUUUGCUUUUCAAGGUUGGUUAUUUCUUUUACCAUGUAUUCGUUUCUAUUAUAACGCAUGUUUAGUUGGGAUUAGAAAACAUGUUUUUGUCGGCAUUAGGUAUCUAUAUAUGCAGUAGGUAUCUACCAUGUAUCAGUUGGGAUUCCAAUGGCAUGUUUGAAUAAUUAAUAAGUGAUGUUUAUGAAUAGAGGUUUUGUUUUUAUUAUAUAAUCAUGUUUUCAAGUUUCAAUAUAGAUUGUUUUUGUCAUCUAUAGAUUGUCAUUUGUUUACAUACAAAUAAUAGUACAUACUAGUAUCCUGAUUAGUUUGUACACACAACGUAAGAUUUUAUGUUAAUUCCUACACACAUACAGAUUAAUGAUUGUAUUAGUUGUUUCUACAAAUUAAACACAUAGUACAGACUAGUAACUUGAUUAGUUGUGAGAAUUAUAUAUUAUACGAAAUAAGUUGAUGUAAUGGUAACUCAUAAUGUUAACAAAAUCUGUAGUUAAAUAAAAAUUGAAAUCUGAAAAUAAAUUGAAAGCUGAAAAUAAAUUGAAAGCUGAUAUAUAUAAAGUCAUUAUGUUGAAAACAUCUAAUUACCACUUUUCAGAGAAUGGGUAAAUAUUCCUAUUAUGUUGUGCGUCGUGGGUUCUGUCCGGGUAUCUACAGAACUUGGGAGGAGUGCAAGUCACAGACGGACGGCUUUAGCAACGCUGACUGGCGUGGUGCUUAUACCAUUGCUGAAGCAAGGCAUAUGCUUCAGCAACAUCUUACAAAUGGUUUCUGUCAACCUUCUGGCCUUAUGUGUGAUCCCAAUCAUCUUAUGUCCCAGUCUUACAUUCCUACGCCAGAACCGUCUGAACAUUCUGGUCAAUCUUACCAAUCCGCCGCUCAAUCUCAAGCACCUCUAUCUCCACUAGUCAGUCAUCGGCCCUUAAACAAUGUUGUUGUGGUGGACGACUUUUGGUGGUUGGUCAAGAAGUUGGUGUUGGUUAUGUUGGUUGUUGUUAUUGCAUUGUUAAUUAAAUUGUUAUUUGUCUUGUGAGAUUUAUGUAAAAAGUGAAAUUGAUGAUGUAAAUUAUUAACCAGUGUUUAUAAUAAUUUCUCAUUUAAAAAGCACUCUUACGCAUUCAUACACUACUAACAAGUAAAAUUAUUAACCAAAUAAACUGACCACAUGUUCUGUAGAAUGCCUACCGAGGAUGAACGUAUCGUUGCAGCUACUAUUGUAAUUGUAGCUGUCGAUUGGUUAAUGCACUAUAUUGGAACGAGACGUGAACGUGUUCCUAGAGGUCCUAGGGCUCCCUAUACCUAUAAUAGAGAUUCGUCGCGUGGGCGAACCUUAGCCCGGUUCUACACCGAUAACGACAACGAUUGCCAUGACCAAUUGAGGAUGAGGCGUUUUGCAUUCCAUCGGUUAUGUGCUAGGUUGAAGACUAUGGGUUUAUCCGACUCUCGGUAUGUGUCAGUUGAAGAACAAGUUGCAAUGUUCUUGCUCAUAGUCGGCCACGACAAUCGGUGUAGAAGAACACGUCACGAGUUUAGGCGAUCUGGACAAACCGUGAGCCAUUACUUCCACUUGGUUUUGAAUGCUUGUCUAAAAUUGUAUAGGCAAGUGGUUGUCAACGCCACGGCUGAGAACUCACCCCUCAAUGACGGUCCUGGGGAUGUCUUUUGGCAUCAGUAUUUCAAGGUACGAAAAAUUAUUUCGUAUUUUAUCAUUUUCUUAUAGGUACGAAAAACUCUUUCGUAUUUUUCUGACCAAGUAAAUUGUUAAUUAGGACGCUGUAGGCGCAAUCGAUGGUACCCACUUCCCCACCUUAGUGCCCCUUGAUGAUCAACCGAGGUAUCGUAAUCGGAAAGGAGUGAUAUCCCAGAAUGUUCUAAUUGGAUGUACGUUCGACAUGAGAUUCACUUACGUUCUAGCUGGGUGGGAAGGGUCGGCGCAUGAUGGGCGGUUGUUGAGAUGUGCGGUUACUCGUCAAGGUAGGAGAUUAACCUUGCCCCCUGGUAAGUAUUACCUUGCGGAUGCUGGCUUUGCAUUAAGUCCCGGCUUCCUCACACCUUAUCGUGGGGUUCGAUACCAUCUCAAAGAACAAGGACAUCGGGCUGUUGAAACUGAUGAAGAACUGUACAACUGUCGGCAUUCCAGGCUACGUAAUGUUGUGGAGAGGAUCAUAGGGGUGUUGAAGAAACGCUUCGCUUAUUUGAGGAAGGCACCAUUCCAUGAUGUGAAGACACACACAAAGAUAAUAUUGGCGUGUUGUGCAAUUCACAACUUCCUCAAAGAUAUCGAUCCAGCUGAUGUAGUGGAACCUGAUUUAGAGGAACCCGAAGAACCCGUUCCCCCCGAGGCAGAUAAUGCGCAAGGCGGUGGAAUACUCAUAUCCGCAUCACGGUCUUGGAGUAAGUGGCGUGAUGACUUGAAGAAGGAAAUGUGGACUAAUUAUCAGAAUUACAAUGAGCUGGAAUAGCGUUGAGGUUUCGUUGCUUUUAUUAGGGUUGUGAGUGUGGUAGUGUUGUGCUUGAGUAUUUGAUGAGUUGUUUGAAAUAAUUUGUUUGGGUUGUUUGAAAUAAGUUCGAAUAAUGGAAGAGGUAAUUUGCCAAUAAUUGUAAUAAGUUGGAAUAAUUUGUGGUUUGGACUAUUUGAUAGUGUUAUGAGCGAGAUUAUGUUUGGAUGUUCCAUUUGGACUAUUUGAUAAGUUGUUUGGAAUAAUACGCUUGUGUAUGGUUCAUAUCUGUGUAUAACUGUGAGUGUGGGAUGAUUAGGUACAACUAUGUCGAACGGACAGUUCAAGAAGCCUAGAAAGACCAGGAAGGGCAAUGGACAAGAUUCAGCGGACCCUUACUUCCCAACUGACAAGCCAGUUAAGUGCCACAUAAGGUGGACCAAACAAAUGGAAGAGGUGAUGUUGAACACUUUGUAUGAAGAAGUGUUGAGAAACGGUAAGAGAGCUGACAAUGGCUUAAGAACCGAAUCAUUGAAAGCAGCUGCAGAUGGUGUCAAUUCAGCCCUCCGUAUGAAUGUUAGUUCUGAACAUGUACGGACUCGCCUGAAGACACUUAGGAAGGACUACAAGAUUGUAAAGGAACUUCUGGAUUUGUCUGGUUUGGGAUUUACUUUUGACACCGAAAACAAGACUGUUAUUGCUGCAGAUGAGGAUGUUUGGGAACGGUACUUUGUGGUAAGGCACAUUUGUUUAUGAGUUUUGUAAUUGUUGGGUCGUAAACUUGACAAAAUGAUUAACACAAGUGUGCUUUGUAGGCUCAUCCUGAAUCACGUAAUGUUCGUGGGAAGCAUUUUCCAUACUUUGAACAAUUGAGCCUCAUCAUCGGCAACGAAACUGCAACUGGUGAAGGAGCAUUCGCAGGUGAUGAAGUUGAUGAUGAACAAGUUGAGGGGUCACCCGCAGGCAGUGGUAAGAUACAGCCCUUUUGUGUUUAUUAAAAUCGUUGUACAUUUGAAUCUGGGGCUGAUUCGUAGAUUGUGAAUGUAUACAAUCGCAGAUGGAUUGGGGGCUGAUUCGUACUCUUACAUGGAUGAUGGUGCCGGUGUUGGAACGUUCGACACAAGUGCAACCGGUGUAUCAAAUAAUGAGAGCUCAAGCAACUGCAGUGAUUCUGCCCCUCGCAUGCACCCAAUUCCACCCCCAGUGCAACCUGUUCAGUCCAAGCGCAAGAAGUCGCGUUUCGGACCCCAGGAACAACCAAGCAACUCUGAGUAUGCACAGGGCAUCAUGGAUGCUGUUAAGACCUUGGCAACGGCAUUUGCUGGUCCGAACAUCGAUGAAUUGUGUGAUGCAAUCAAGGUUGUAAGCAAGGGGGACAGAGUCCUGUAUCUGAAGGGUCUCGACUUUCUAGGUGUCGAGGACAAGCAAGCGAAGAUAUUUCUUGGGAUGGACGCUGAUCUGAGGGCUGAUUGGUUGGUUGAUAAGCUUAACUAUGUUAAGCCUUUCAAUGGGGAUGAGUGGGCUGAUUCGUAGUUGUCUUCAUCUGUCUUGAUGUGUGUCUUGAUAAUCCUGGGGAACUGAUAUGACUGCAUUUUCUUAACUUUGUCUAAACUAGUUAACUUUGUCAGUGGUUUGUAUAAACUAAUGUAAAACAGAUAUGACUUCUUUUCUGAUGCAAUCAAGGUUUGAACUUUUGUUUAUCUGAAUGGCUUGAAUGGUUUAGUCCUGAAAUAUUCUUGUCACAUUUUAUUACUUUGUGUUGUCGAGUUGUGUCGAGUUCAGAAUGUUGGAAUUUUUUGAAUGAUAUAUAUAUAUAUAUAUAUAUAUAUAUAUAUAUAUAUAUAUAGAGAGAGAGAGAGAGAGAGGAACCGGUUGUAUGUGUGUGAUGUAAACUGACUGCGAUGGAUUGUUCCAGUCAGUGGGAAUGCUUUAGUCCUUUAAAUAUUCUUGUCACAUUUUAGUACUUUGUGUUGUCGAGUUGUGUCGAGUUCAGAAUGUUGGAAUUUUUUGAAUGAAUGGAAUGUUUUUGUUCAGGAACGUACGUACGCUGUUAGAAUGAAUGGAAUUUUUUGUUCAGACAGAUAACUUUGCAGGUUGGGAACGUACGUACGUAGUGAAGGCGUACGUACGUCCCGUAGCACAGAUGUUGGUUUUUGAAGCUGAACGUACGUACGUGAUUUCGACGUACGUUUGAAGCUGAACGUACGUACGUGAUUUCGACGUACGUACGUCCUCUCUUGGUUUAGGGUUUAUGGGCCAGUUUGUAAACUGACUGCGAUGGAUUGUUCCAGUCAGUGGGAAUGCUUUAGUCAUAAAUAUUCUUGUCACAUUUUAGUACUUUGUGUUGUCGAGUUGUGUCGAGUUCAGAAUAUAUAUAUAUGUUGUAGUUGUAUGUGUCUAAUGUAAACUGACUGCGAUGAAUUAUUUCAGUCAGUGGGAAUGGUGCGAAUUAUUCACACCCCAAAAAAUCCCCGUCUAGGACGGCGUUUGUUCGCGUGGACUCCAGAUACGGACCACACGAUGUGCACUGCUAUGCUGGCAGACGAGACACCAGGUCCACUUAUGGUCCGUCUUAGGUCGGGAAUGGUAAAGGCUUCUGAUGUUUUAAAUCAACACACUAGGCUGGAUUUGUGUGCUGAAAACAUAUGGGCUCGUUUGCGUUAUUUGAAACGUUUGGCGAACCUUAUCAAUGAGUUGUGUGAAGAGCAUCCAGGAUUUCAUUGGGACAAUGAAAGAAGUACGGUGAUUGCAACGGACGAUGACUGGAUUGCCCUUGAGGAAGAGAUACCUGAGUAUUACACACAUAUUAGGAACAUGUAUGUUCCAGCGUACCCGGUGUACUUGGAACUAUCAGCAAAGUAUCGAUUGUAGGCAAAGAGUGUUUGCGUGAGGUUUAAAAAGUGUUUUACAAAAAACUGGAUGUCGGUGGUAACUGUCUUCAUUUGACAUCUAUGAGUAGGUGGUAAUUGUUUUAUGAAAAACAUGUACUGUAUAAUGUUUUGGUAAUAUUAUAAUUUUUAUCAUAUUUUGUAAAGUCAAUGCUUCAUUGUAUUAGAACGUUAUCUGACAUUGUGUUAGGAUUAGAAUCAAACUCAGAUAAUGGUGUGGUGGACUCCUAAGGAAGACGUGAACUUGUGUUUCGCGUGGGUAUCGAUAUACACUUGUCCUCCGGUUAAUCAUGCCGGUACAAGUUAUUGGACAGAUAUUUCGGCUCGUUUCCACGAGAUGGAGGGAGUUGUUGAAAGAAAGGAACUAGGCCACUUAGCUAGUCGAUUUCAAGACAUUUGGGAGUGCACAGAGAUAUUGGUUAGUUUAAUAGACUUCAUCCGCCUAAAACGAACUAUUAUCACUAACGAAGAUGAAAGGAUCCGAGAAGCGUGCAAUUUAUACAAAAUUAACCAAUACGGGCGGUUUGAAUUCCUCCCUUGUUUGCCAAUAAUCGAACCAUUCAUGCAUUGUGACAACCUUGGGUGCGAUGGUUUGAUGAAAAUGCACAAGGGAAUGGGAAACAAUGACAAGCAAUGGGUAUGCUUUGCAAAAUGCGCUAAUCAAGCAUGCCCAGGAAUUAUAUUCUUGUAUCCAUUUCAUGUAUCGCCACCAUCUGGAGGAGACCUUGAGAUGAUUUGUGCAAAAUGUCUUCAAAACCCUUGUCAUGGUGAUUGCGCAAACUAUUGGAAGCACAUUUCUUUACCACCACCUGAAGAUGGUGUUUGUUUGCACUGCUUAGGCAAUCCAUGUACGUGGGAUUGUGCCAAUUACUGUGAUUGUUGUAGUCGUGACUAGACAUUUAUGUUAUAUGUAAGACACAUUUUCAUUUAUUAUGUAAUAUGUAACACACAUUUUCAAAUAGUAUUGUAACUUUCGUUUUGAUAUGAAUUCAGUAAUGGUCGUGAAGUGCUUUGUAUUCCUUAUCAUGUAAUGGUCGUAAAGUGCUUUGUAUUAAUUAUCUUGUGUAUGGAACAUAUUGUAUAACUUACGCCGUUGCGGAUUAACAUUGUCGUGUAACAAAUGGUUGCUUAUAUUUUGUAUGGAACAUUGCUAGUCUAAUUGCAACAAAUUGUUGCUCAUCAUGUGUAGCAUUCUUUACGUAUGUUGAGUAAUACAUUUGUAAACUUAUGGGUAUUGCAAUAUGUGUUACAGAGAACCAAGCAAUGGCGCCCAACUUGAGGCCCAUCGUGAGAGAUAACCCUUUCUGGGUCAAGCAAGUUACAAAGGGACAUGUAACCAAGGGAUGCGUAAUGGUAAGCAAAUUCCUAAUUAUGUAUGGACAUAGAUAAAAUGAUGGGCUUUGGGCUGUUAGUUGGGCCUCGCAGUGAUGGCUAGUAAUGUUGAUAUAUAUGGCAAGAAAUGUGCACAUAUAUAUGGGCUGCUACACGUGCAGAAAACUGUUUGAUAUAUACUGUUGAUGUAUGGAAUAAUUGUUCGACAGAACUGUUUGAUAUGUGGCUAGUAAUGUUGAUAUAUAUUGUUGAUAUAGGGCAGAAAUUUUAUAUAUACUGUUGAUAUAUGGAAUUGUUGGACAGAACUGUUUGGAUUCAUGGCAGAAAUUUUAUAUAACCAUGCCUAGUAAUGUUGAUAUAUAGUGUUGGUAUAUGGCAGAAAAUCCCAGCUGCGAACAAAUACUUAUUCGACAACUGCAACCGGGUUGUACUAAUUUUGCCUGGUGAACAAUCUUUUGCCAUUGACAUUGCCAAUGACCAACACGGU
RNAcentral lists this long non-coding RNA (7140 nucleotides) under Aquilegia coerulea. Its description in RNAcentral is "long non-coding RNA (ACOE_LNC002158)". Lineage: Eukaryota; Viridiplantae; Streptophyta; Magnoliopsida; Ranunculales; Ranunculaceae. The record is from RNAcentral.